ACGGAAGGCAGCAGUGGGGAAUAUUGCACAAUGGGGGAAACCCUGAUGCAGCGACGCCGCGUGAGUGAAGAAGUUAUUCGUAAUGUAAAGCUCUAUCAGCAGGGAAGAAAAUGACGGUACCUGACUAAGAAGCCCCGGCUAACUACGUGCCAGCAGCCGCGGUAAUACGUAGGGGGCAAGCGUUAUCCGGAUUUACUGGGUGUAAAGGGAGCGUAGACGGUCUAGCAAGUCUGAUGUGAAAGGCAGGGGCUCAGCUCCUGGACUGCAUUGGAAACUGUUAGUCUUGAGUGUCGGAGAGGUAAGCGGAAUUCCUAGUGUAGCGGUGAAAUGCGUAGAUAUUAGGAGGAACACCAGUGGCGAAGGCGGCUUACUGGACGAUAACUGACGUUGAGGCUCGAAAGCGUGGGGAGCAAACAGGAUUAGAUACCCUGGUA
This 434-nucleotide ribosomal RNA is filed under the name uncultured Lachnospiraceae bacterium. RNAcentral describes it as "partial 16S ribosomal RNA". It matches the Rfam family "Bacterial small subunit ribosomal RNA", at positions 341 to 792 of the family's 1533-position model. The record is from RNAcentral. Lineage: Bacteria; Bacillati; Bacillota; Clostridia; Lachnospirales; Lachnospiraceae.